GUUUGAUCAACUGAAUGGAGAGGAUAGGCAGAAGGACCUCAUGGGGAGAGCAUCAGAAAGUACCGAGAAGCAACGAGUGAGGGGGCCGGGUCCUCUGGCACAUAAGGAAAAAGGCGUGGCAGCAGAGCUCUGUUACUGAUGCCUGUGUCGGUGCGCUCAGAGGACGGAAUCAGGAGCUGAGAUCCACCAUCUGAGUUGCUGAUGGUUGCACGUUUGGUGACAGGAACGCCAUCUUUCAGCCAGUCCACGUCUGGCCAAGGGGAUGCCUGUCAACAGCAGCUUGGGUCUCGUGCAAUCCCAAACUCCGAUGGUGGACUGGGUUCACUAGGACCAGAGACAUUGAUAGCUGUCACACGGAACUCAUACUCCAUUCCAGCAAUGACAUCUUUAACAGCA
This is a long non-coding RNA of Alosa sapidissima (American shad), 396 nucleotides long. RefSeq lists it as uncharacterized. Lineage: Eukaryota; Metazoa; Chordata; Actinopteri; Clupeiformes; Clupeidae. The record is from RefSeq and is a predicted model, not a curated record. The transcript has 3 exons.